Molecule: ribosomal RNA, 492 nt
Filed under: uncultured bacterium
Lineage: Bacteria
Description: partial 16S ribosomal RNA
Rfam family: Bacterial small subunit ribosomal RNA
Source: RNAcentral
AGUGAACGCUGGCGGUAGGCCUAACACAUGCAAGUCGAACGGCAGCACAGUGAGAGCUUGCUCUUACGGGUGGCGAGUGGCGGACGGGUGAGGAAUACAUCGGAAUCUACUUUUUCGUGGGGGAUAACGUAGGGAAACUUACGCUAAUACCGCAUACGACCUACGGGUGAAAGCAGGGGAUCUUCGGACCUUGCGCGAUUGAAUGAGCCGAUGUCGGAUUAGCUGGUUGGCGGGGUAAAGGCCCACCAAGGCGACGAUCCGUAGCUGGUCUGAGAGGAUGAUCAGCCACACUGGAACUGAGACACGGUCCAGACUCCUACGGGAGGCAGCAGUGGGGAAUAUUGGACAAUGGGCGCAAGCCUGAUCCAGCCAUACCGCGUGGGUGAAGAAGGCCUUCGGGUUGUAAAGCCCUUUUGUUGGGAAAGAAAAGCAGCAGGUUAAUACCCCGCUGUUCUGACGGUACCCAAAGAAUAAGCACCGGCUAACUUCGUG